Molecule: ribosomal RNA, 253 nt
Filed under: uncultured bacterium
Lineage: Bacteria
Description: partial 16S ribosomal RNA
Rfam family: Bacterial small subunit ribosomal RNA
Source: RNAcentral
UACGUAGGGUGCAAGCGUUAAUCGGAAUUACUGGGCGUAAAGCGUGCGCAGGCGGUGAUGUAAGACAGGUGUGAAAUCCCCGGGCUUAACCUGGGAACUGCAUUUGAGACUGCAUCGCUGGAGUGCGGCAGAGGGGGAUGGAAUUCCGCGUGUAGCAGUGAAAUGCGUAGAUAUGCGGAGGAACACCGAUGGCGAAGGCAAUCCCCUGGGCCUGCACUGACGCUCAUGCACGAAAGCGUGGGGAGCAAACAGG